AGAGUUUGAUCCUGGCUCAGGACGAACGCUGGCGGCACGCUUAACACAUGCAAGUCGAACGAGAGAAGAGGAGCUUGCUUUUCUGAUCUAGUGGCGGACGGGUGAGUAACACGUGAGCAAUCUGCCUUUCAGAGGGGGAUACCGAUUGGAAACGAUCGUUAAUACCGCAUAACAUAAUUGAACCGCAUGAUUUGAUUAUCAAAGAUUUAUCGCUGAAAGAUGAGCUCGCGUCUGAUUAGCUAGUUGGUAAGGUAACGGCUUACCAAGGCGACGAUCAGUAGCCGGACUGAGAGGUUGAUCGGCCACAUUGGGACUGAGACACGGCCCAGACUCCUACGGGAGGCAGCAGUGGGGAAUAUUGCACAAUGGAGGAAACUCUGAUGCAGCGAUGCCGCGUGAGGGAAGAAGGUUUUAGGAUUGUAAACCUCUGUCUUCAGGGACGAAAAAAGACGGUACCUGAGGAGGAAGCUCCGGCUAACUACGUGCCAGCAGCCGCGGUAAUACGUAGGGAGCGAGCGUUGUCCGGAAUUACUGGGUGUAAAGGGAGCGUAGGCGGGAUCGCAAGUCAGAUGUGAAAACUAUGGGCUUAACCCAUAAACUGCAUUUGAAACUGUGGUUCUUGAGUGAAGUAGAGGUAAGCGGAAUUCCUAGUGUAGCGGUGAGAUGCGUAGAUAUUAGGAGGAACAUCAGUGGCGAAGGCGGCUUACUGGGCUUUAACUGACGCUGAGGCUCGAAAGCGUGGGGAGCAAACAGGAUUAGAUACCCUGGUAGUCCACGCCGUAAACGAUGAUUACUAGGUGUGGGGGGACUGACCCCUUCCGUGCCGCAGCAAACACAAUAAGUAAUCCACCUGGGGAGUACGACCGCAAGGUUGAAACUCAAAGGAAUUGACGGGGGCCCGCACAAGCAGUGGAGUAUGUGGUUUAAUUCGAAGCAACGCGAAGAACCUUACCAGGUCUUGACAUACGAUGCAUAGCUUAGAGAUAAGUGAAGUCCUUCGGGACAUCGAGACAGGUGGUGCAUGGUUGUCGUCAGCUCGUGUCGUGAGAUGUUGGGUUAAGUCCCGCAACGAGCGCAACCCUUAUUGCCAGUUACUACGAAAGAGGACUCUGGCGAGACUGCCGUUGACAAAACGGAGGAAGGUGGGGAUGACGUCAAAUCAUCAUGCCCUUUAUGACCUGGGCUACACACGUACUACAAUGGCGUUUAACAAAGAGAAGCAAGACCGCGAGGUGGAGCAAAACUCAAAAACAACGUCUCAGUUCAGAUUGCAGGCUGCAACUCGCCUGCAUGAAGUCGGAAUUGCUAGUAAUCGCGGAUCAGCAUGCCGCGGUGAAUACGUUCCCGGGCCUUGUACACACCGCCCGUCACACCAUGAGAGCCGGGGGGACCCGAAGUCGGUAGUCUAACCGCAAGGAGGACGCCGCCGAAGGUAAAACUGGUGAUUGGGGUGAAGUC
Molecule: ribosomal RNA, 1458 nt
Filed under: metagenome
Description: bacterial SSU rRNA
Rfam family: Bacterial small subunit ribosomal RNA
Source: RNAcentral